AGCACCAUCUCGGCGCACAUGGUGUGCUGGACCACGAGAGUCCGCCUCAAUGUUUUGCUUGCGGCCGCGGGGCAAGGCCAGGGUGUCUGCUGUCCCCUGCUCAGGGGGGAUCAACACGAGACUCGUCUACCAGACCCUGCCCGACGUCACCUGCUGCGCCGUUUUCUGUCUACGACAUUCUUGGGCACAUCUCUUGUGGAUGUACAACGGGAGCCGAAGGCUCUCCAGAGCCAUCGCCGAGGCAGGUGUAAUUGCCCAGCAGAAGCUCGUCCACAUCCCCGUACACUACCAGGCGCCGCAGGCCGCAGGGCCGGCAGCAAGGGAAGCGCGAUGAAGAGCGGCGGGCCACCUCGAGGAUGCCGAGGUUUUAGCGCCCUACGGUUCGGAGUCCAGGCUGCACGUCGACCCCACCAUAUCAUCCUCAAGGCCGUCCUGGUGCUGUCCCCGGGGCCGAGGUGGUCUCGGCCUUUCAAGACCCGGCCCCCAAGGCCAAGGCUGAUGGCUGACGUCACAGCGGUUCGCCGAGCCUACCCUGCCCCCGGCCCGGCUGCGCUGUAUGCACACGGCGAGGCCCCUUCAUGGCGUGUCGGAACACCUCCCGCAACAUGGGCAAUACGCCGGGCUGAACCGUUCGGCGGAUCCGGGAAGGGGAAAAGGGAGGAAGGGGGGGGGGGGGUCGCAGGACAUCCCUCGGAUGCUCACCAGCUCUCGAGUGAGGAAGUUGAACACGGAGACGGGGGAAGAGAGGCGCCGCUGUCAGCCAGGCGAAAAAAGCGAGGUGAACAUCGACGUCGUCAAUCAUAAUCGGAAUCGGAGCCGGCAGGUAUACGGUGGCGCGUCGCGGAGCCGCCGGGCGCCGGGCGCCGGGGUGCUAUUAUUUGGCCUGGCGCCUUGCUCCGUGGCGCACGCACAGCCGAGGGAAGUCCAGCUUCAAGACACGUGCAGAGCCGAGGCCGUGAAGGGCGUCAUGCCGAACAGCAGCAGCUCGUCCGGCAGCUCAUACACCCAGGACCCGACGCCGGGCAGCGCGCUGAGCACGGUCAGCUCCUCCAGCGCCGUGUCCAUGCCUCGGGGACGAUUUGGCGAAACAGCCUCGUACGAUCUGUUAACUCGCUCAAGGCUGGUGGCGAGCGACUAGGCUCUGAAGGUCUGCCGGAGGCGGCGUGUCGUGGACCUUAUCCAGGCGUGCCCGCCGCCCCGCCUAGAGUCUCCGCUACCGUCGUCCACGUCGGCCGGUGGCUGGUGCGUUGGUCUUCGUUUUGGAGCCGACUGAUUCAGAAGACCACUUUCCUAUACCUCCCGUACAACUCCGUCUCGAACAAGGCCGGACUAGAGCGAGGAGACCUUCUUGGCGCUAUGGCUGCGCACGGAUCCUAGAUGGCUAUCGAGUCCAGGCAGCACGGCGCGCACACCAGAGCGAGAAGCAUCUCCUUCGUGAUCAGAUGGGCAAGUGUAGGAAAAAAAAGGGGGGGGCGUACCACCAGGAGGUGGACAUCGAGGCCUGGCAGCACGACCGGUGCUGGAGUCCAGACCGUGCCCAACUUCGCCCGCGGCCGCGCCGCGUCGAGAUCCAGGACACGCAGUGACCGUCCGCGAAGAAGAUGAUGGAGCACGCCGGGUGGCAGCUGCCGCGUCCGCGGCGAUGCCCCUUUGUGCCCACGCCUGCCCACGCCCACCGCCCACCCCCGUCAUACGGGGAGCCAUCGCUGGCUUAAUAAAUGUCCCGUGUGACCAAGAGAUCAGAAAAUGGUGCCAAAGUCCCAGACGACAGGCGAGGGAGAGGGAAAGCCCAUGUCUGAUGUCUGCCGCCGGACGAGCACACGCCCGUCGGUCUGAAGCAGUAGUCUGAAGCCUGUGGUUGGAGAAGGCAGACUGGUACAGCGAGGAGGCCUUUGUAGUGGGGACGGGCGCGAAGGGCAAGGUGCUUCUUAGCAACUUAUAGAGUGCUAGAGGCUGGAGAAGGUCGCUUCUUAAAUCGUUAAAGCCGACGGGCAAAUGCCAGGGUAGGCAACCCACCCAGCGCACGAGCGUCGCGGGCGGGGCAGUUGUUACCCUCCAGGCACCCUGACAGGCAAGACAUUAUCGAGUCUCGAAAUGGAUUCUUUUCGCUGGUAUGUUAUUCCACAGCCGAAGACAGGCGAAAUUGUUCGCACCGUGUUUGUCCGUACCUGAUGUGCUCCACAUCCACACAGUUAUUUCUAAGGAAAGGUAGAGGAAACCAGGAAUCCGAGAACGUGGCGUUGUAGUGCCGAUACACAAGCAUAUGAAUGUGAUAAACUGAACGCCCAUUGCAGUUUUGUGUUGUGUUAAAACGUUAAACGGAUACCGAACGCACUUUGUGGCCAUUCGAACCCCGCCUCUCGGCGCGCCGCUGCCUCGCCAUGUACACCAACAUACCACCCACAGCUAGUCUGCGCGUCGUCGUCCUACAUCACUACCGUUUCACGUUUAAACGCCAAAAAGCUGUGAAAUGGGUGGAAAUACUAAUUUUAUUGUAUAGGGGUAGUCUUCUGCUAGAGCGUCACGUUCUGAGAAUUUGCAUCUACGGCAGAAUUGUUUAGUUUUCAGGACUUGCCACCCUGGCUGAACGAACGAAUGAUGAAUUGAUGAAAUAGUUGUCGGUCAGCUAAACACUGUCUGCUUUUGGACGCGGCCGUUUGCGUCGGUCGACAUUCUAAUCGAAAUUUGCACGAAAUGUGGUCGGUUGCAACAGUUAGGACUUUAUAGGGUGUAUGUUUCUUCUCAUUGUUCUUCAUUGCAGCACCGUUCUCUACGACGCCGGCUGUGAUUUUGUGGAGAGAGUUGCUGGGUUGGGUUAUUGUCUGCCAGGGAACACUCGUGGCGAACCACGAGGGCGAUUGUUAACACAACAAUAAUUUCGCUUAUGCCGUUUUCAAACAUUGAUUUUAUUGAAUGUCAGUGAGUGGAUCCAGGCAACGGUGCUCUUUUGUACAACCAGUGUUGCGUUUCUUUAUGAAGGUGUUUAGUUACUCCUCCCUGGCUGACGAUCCCUUUGAGGCGGGUUCCGAGUCCACUUCAACCUUUCUAAAUCGUUGGAUCUGCUCGUGUCAAUUUGGGGAGCAGCUUUUCUGUGUUGAAAGUGAGACAGUUUGGUAAUGAAGGUUUAUUCAAGGUGCUAAACAAAUGCCAAUCAAAAGCAGACCUAGUCUGAAUAAAAGUAAUCUCUAUUAAAUGAUGCGCGAUUGAAUGAGAUUGAUGCCCAGUUUUAACGAACAUCGUAGUUCUGAUGCAAGUGCUUUUCACUUCAAAAUUUAGAGGUGAUUGUGAUUUCUGACUUGUGAACAAUGGAAGGUCUUCUAAAAUACUGUCUGUUUCAGAAGAGAAGUACUGCUGGUUCAAGAAAUUUAUUCUGCUUAUUCUGUGCCAUGUGAUGUCAUCUAUACCCAACCUGCAGUCAUAGGUUGUUUGCCGCAUGACAGCAGACAUAAAUAAGCAGAUGUAUAUGUCCAUGUGUGUGGUCUAUCUCUUCAACUGAUGUCAACUUGCAUGUUUGGGACAGUAAAAGGAAUUGAUGGUCCUGAGUUUGCAAUUUCCUUUCGGAAAAUUAAUUUCUUUACCAUGGUACUGUUCUACUAUGCGCUAUACAAGUGAAAUAACUGAUUCCUAGGUUUUACUUGACUGAAAACUUACAGACACUUCACUUAUCCAUAGAGAAAGAGAAAAUUUGAGGAAGACAAACAUCAGAAAGAAAUUAAGAUUGAAUGAGAUAUAUGAAAAUGAUUGAGUACAAAGCACAAAUUUGAUCCCAAGAACCAAAAAUGUUACCAGAGGACAUGGAUAAGAAGCAGAAGCUUAAGGAAGGGAUUCAUGAGGUCCAAAACUUAUUUAAAGAGAAGAUUGAUGUUAGUCUGUCUAAGUAUGCUGAGGUCCAAGAACAUCGGUGUCAGCAGUCUGCUUUAAGAUGGAUUCUGGAUUCCAGUCCAACAUGUCCAAAUGGUCUCUGCUUUGUCCCAACAUGCCAGAAUUAGUGAGAUAAAUGGAGAUGUGCAGGACUGGUCUUAGCCGGCCUUCAGCAGGCAUUUUUAAGCAGAUGUUUGAUGGAGACUACAUUUGGGAUAGAGAAGACAAAACAAUUGACUCUUGCAUGGAGUUAAGUUCUUCACGCAACACAGUUGUGAAGGUCUGCUGGUGACAUAAGUAAGCUGCUGGUUUUUUGGCAACUACUAAUAAUGUCUCAGAGAAAAAUGUUGUGUGGGCAAUUCAGUUCUUGUGGUGGUGCAGCUGAGGUCCUAUUCCAUUAUUUGAAUUACUAGAAUUUAGAGUUUUCAAUAUUUUUCAAUUUCUCCAGUUUAGCUUUUGUGGUUAAAAUUUGAGCAGAACUUUUUUUUUUGUGAGCUAAUAUUAACACAGUCAUUAACAAGUCUCCUUGAAGCACUCUAAUUUGUUCAAAGUAAAAGUGACGGACACAGGACAGGACUGACUGGUUUCUUUCUAAAUUUAGUUAUACACAUCUCUAUUUUCCUCACUAGUUCUGGCAUGUUUGCACCAAGUAAGGACCAAUUUGACUUAUUGUUGGACUGAAAUCCUUGAUGUUUUGUUGAUAAGAUCCCUGUAAAGAAUCACACAUGUAAGCAGGAACAUUAGAGAUUGUGUCUUACGUAUAUUUGUAUGUCCUCAUCUUUGUCGCCUUUUGCUAAGCUGUAGUUACCCUAAAGCAGACUGCUGAAACCGAUUUUCUUGGACCUCAGCUUACUUAGACAGACUUACAUCAAUCUUUUCUUUCAAUAAGUUUUGGACCUCAUGAAUUCCUCAAAUACCAAAUGUGUACUAACUUCUGUUCUUGGGAAGUUUGUCUUCGUUAAAUUUUCUCCUCCUCUAGAUAAGUGUAGCGUGUCAAAGUUUUAAGUAAUGUAAAAUCGAGGAAUCAGUUAUGUCACUUGUAUAGCUUUAGUAGAUCUUGUGUAAUUCAAGAUUGUCCCAGUUAUUAUUUUGGGAUGGCCUCAUUGUGCCUUCUGCUAUUGUGAUAACUUUAGUUCUUAUUUAAAUGAUGAAUGUCAUUAGAACAACAGCUUUUUCAGCUUGUAUAUUUCACCAGUGCAAUUUCGUGUUCCCCCAAGAAUUUCCCAAUUUUUACAAUAGUGCAUGUUUUUUUUAAAUAUACAUGUUAUCUAAGUUUAAGUUGUUACUCUAACAUUUGUUGUAAUUACAUAAACAUCAUUAGUUAUCUCAGCAAAGUUUGUUACUAUGACCACAAAAAUUAGUCUAGUAACUGUGAAGUGACAGGCGCUAUGGAUACCUCUCCGUUUUCUUGUUGCACACCUUGCACUCUAAUUGCUUUACUCUGCACAUGUAUAGCUUCUCUCUAAUGUCUUGUCCAAAUGUUGUGAACACGAGAAUGGCACUCACUGUCAUGGUUUCUUCCCAGUGUGUGGUCAAAGGAAGAUUCGUGACAAAACUGUCACAAUAAGCUGUUUCUCCCCUCGAUUAGCCAACACUUGUGACACCACAGUCACAAGUCGUUUUUCUCCAGUAUGUGGUCAAAGUCAGAUGUUAUAACUAAUGAUGUUUAUGUAAGAAAUGUUACAUUUAUAAGACUCUUCUAGGUUGCUUCCCAGAUCAGUUGUGUUGGCAUGUGUGAAGCAAACAAAGUUUUUUGCUUUCUUUGGCAGGACUAAUCUGCCUUUGAGAACCUAUUCUUUUGUUUUCCCAGGGGCAUUUUUUUCAAAUUCUAAACUAGUUGCAAAUUGUGCUUUAUUCUUUUCUGCCUAUGAACUGAGGCUUAAGGUUUUGUAUUGUAAUUCUUUGACUUUCAACCAUAUAAAUCAGUUUUGUAAAGGUUUAGUUAAACCAUACUAAAAGGCUUGAAGCUUGAAUUUGUUACUUACUAGACCCUUUGUUAUAUCAUUUUCUUAAAGAUUGAGAGUUUACAUUGUGUAAUAAAAGUAAAACAUUCGUAAAAUAAUAAGCUCACUUUGAACUUAUUUAUUCCCCUUGAAAAAUGAAGGCAAGUGUCGAAUCUGCUUCAUCCGCACCUAGUUGUGAAUCACUGCACGUUUUAUUGCGUCAAGAGUUGAAAAUAUUGUGUGUAGACCUGUGUGAAUCAGACUGAUGCUGACGUGGUUUGGAAAUGAGUUGUAUAUUGCAUAUGAAAGACCAAAUGAAAAUUUGUGGACAAUAAAAACAUAAGGAGUUCACAUAAAAAGUCUUUAAAAAGCUGCAAGGU
This is a long non-coding RNA of Frankliniella occidentalis (western flower thrips), 6184 nucleotides long. RefSeq lists it as uncharacterized. The transcript is spliced from 7 exons. NCBI's taxonomy places the organism in Eukaryota, Metazoa, Arthropoda, Insecta, Thysanoptera, Thripidae. The record is from RefSeq and is a predicted model, not a curated record.